GGCGGCCUACGGGGGGCAGCAGUGGGGGAUAUUGCACAAUGGGGGGAACCCUGAUGCAGCGACGCCGCGUGAGCGAUGAAGUAUUUCGGUAUGUAAAGCUCUAUCAGCAGGGAAGAAAAUGACGGUACCUGACUAAGAAGCCCCGGCUAACUACGUGCCAGCAGCCGCGGUAAUACGUAGGGGGCAAGCGUUAUCCGGAUUUACUGGGUGUAAAGGGAGCGUAGACGGCUGUGCAAGUCUGAAGUGAAAGCCCAGGGCUCAACCUUGGGACUGCUUUGGAAACUGUGGAGCUAGAGUGCUGGAGA
This 305-nucleotide ribosomal RNA is filed under the name uncultured bacterium. Its description in RNAcentral is "bacterial SSU rRNA". It matches the Rfam family "Bacterial small subunit ribosomal RNA", at positions 333 to 655 of the family's 1533-position model. The record is from RNAcentral.